UUUUUGGCGAAGUCUGGCGGCGUGCUUUAUACAUGCAAGUCAAGGAGAACGUUUUCUUCGGAAAAUUAUUAAACUGGCGAACGGGUGAGUAACGCGUAGGCAACCUGCCCUAGAGAUUGGGAUAACACCGGGAAACCGGUGCUAAUACCGAAUAAUGCAGCGGAUCCUUCGGGAUACAGUUGUUAAAGCGGGCUUCGGCUCGCACUUUAGGAUGGGCCUGCGUCCGAUUAGCUUGUUGGUAGGGUAACGGCUUACCAAGGCAAUGAUCGGUAGCUGGUCUGAGAGGAUGAUCAGCCACACUGGGAUUGAGAUACGGCCCAGACUCCUACGGGAGGCAGCAGUAGGGAAUUUUGCGCAAUGGGGGAAACCCUGACGCAGCAACGCCGCGUGACCGAUGAAGCUUCUAGGAGCGUAAAGGUCUGUCGUAAGGGAAGAAAAGUUUGGAUGUAAAUAAUGUUCGAGCCUGACGGUACCUUACAAGAAAGCACCGGCUAACUUCGUGCCAGCAGCCGCGGUAAUACGAGGGGUGCAAGCGUUGUCCGGAAUCACUGGGCGUAAAGGGUCCGUAGGCGUCUUAAAAAGUCAUUUGUUAAAUACACCGGCUUAACCGGUGACCUGCAUUUGAAACUAUUGAGAUAGAGUAUAGGAGAGGAAAGCGGAAUUCCUGGUGUAGCGGUGACAUGCGUAGAAUAUCAGGAGGAACACCAAUGGCGAAGGCCGGCUUUCUGGCCUAUUACUGACCCUGAGGGACAAAAGCGUGGGGAGCCAACAGGAUAGA
Molecule: ribosomal RNA, 778 nt
Filed under: uncultured bacterium
Lineage: Bacteria
Description: bacterial SSU rRNA
Rfam family: Bacterial small subunit ribosomal RNA
Source: RNAcentral